CAGGACGAACGCUGGCGGCGUGCUUAACACAUGCAAGUCGAACGGGGAUUAGUUGAUAGAGAGCUUCGGCAGGAAAUUGAUUAAUCGAGUGGCGGACGGGUGAGUAACGCGUGAGCAACCUGUCCCAGACAGGGGGAUAACACUUGGAAACAGGUGCUAAUACCGCAUAAGACCACGGGAUCACAUGGUUCUGGGGUAAAAGGAGCAAUCCGGGUUUGGGGUGGGCUCGCGUCCGAUUAGCCAGUUGGCGGGGUAACGGCCCACCAAAGCGACGAUCGGUAGCCGACCUGAGAGGGUGAACGGCCACAUUGGAACUGAGAGACGGUCCAAACUCCUACGGGAGGCAGCAGUGGGGAAUAUUGGGCAAUGGGCGAAAGCCUGACCCAGCAACGCCGCGUGAGUGAAGAAGGCCUUCGGGUUGUAAAGCUCUGUUAUAGUUGACGAAGGAAGUGACGGUAGGCUAUAAGGAAGCCCCGGCUAACUACGUGCCAGCCGCGGC
RNAcentral lists this ribosomal RNA (499 nucleotides) under uncultured bacterium. RNAcentral describes it as "bacterial SSU rRNA". It matches the Rfam family "Bacterial small subunit ribosomal RNA", at positions 25 to 518 of the family's 1533-position model. The record is from RNAcentral.